This 320-nucleotide ribosomal RNA is filed under the name uncultured eukaryote. Its description in RNAcentral is "partial 18S ribosomal RNA". It matches the Rfam family "Eukaryotic small subunit ribosomal RNA", at positions 1470 to 1796 of the family's 1831-position model. The record is from RNAcentral.
CCCCUAGAUGUUCUGGGCCGCACGCGCGCUACACUGAACAGUUCAACAAGUCUUAACCUUGGCCGAUAGGUCUGGGUAAUCUUUGAACGCUGUUCGUGAUUGGGAUAGACCUUUGCAAUUAUGGGUCUUCAACGAGGAGUUCCUAGUAAACGCAAGUCAUCAGCUUGCAUUGAUUACGUCCCUGCCCUUUGUACACACCGCCCGUCGCACCUACCGAUUGAAUGGUCCGGUGAAAUCUCGGGACGGCGGCUUGGUCGCUUGCGUCCGACUGCUGAAACUUGAUUAAACCAUAUCAUUUAGAGGAAGGUGAAGUCGUAACA